This 254-nucleotide ribosomal RNA is filed under the name uncultured bacterium. RNAcentral describes it as "partial 16S ribosomal RNA". It matches the Rfam family "Bacterial small subunit ribosomal RNA", at positions 524 to 776 of the family's 1533-position model. The record is from RNAcentral.
UACGUAGGGGGCUAGCGUUGUCCGGAAUCACUGGGCUUAAAGCGCGUGUAGGCGGGCCGGCACGUCGGACGUUGAAAUCCCCCGGCUCAACCGGGGAAGGGGCGCCGAUACGACCGGCCUGGAGGAACGUAGGGGGAGCUGGAACUUCCGGUGGAGCGGUGAAAUGCGUUGAGAUCGGAAGGAACGCCCGUGGCGAAAGCGAGCUCCUGGACGUUUUCUGACGCUGAGACGCGAAAGCCAGGGGAGCGAACGGG